CCCUUAGACGUUCUGGGCCGCACGCGCGCUACACUGACCAGUGCAACAAGCAUCCGUCCUUGGCCGACAGGCCCGGGCAAUCUUUGAACGCUGGUCGUGAUGGGGAUAGACUUUUGCAAUUUUUGGUCUUCAACGAGGAAUUCCUAGUAAACGCAAGUCAUCAACUUGCAUUGAUUACGUCCCUGCCCUUUGUACACACCGCCCGUCGCACCUACCGAUUGGAUGGUCCGGUGAAGCCUCCGGAUUGGCGCGCACCCCGGUGCCGCCGAGAAGUUGGCUAAACCUUACCAUUUAGAGGAAGGUGAANUCGUAACA
Molecule: ribosomal RNA, 315 nt
Filed under: uncultured eukaryote
Lineage: Eukaryota
Description: partial 18S ribosomal RNA
Rfam family: Eukaryotic small subunit ribosomal RNA
Source: RNAcentral